AUGUUCCUGCUGGCUGAACGUUAAUGUAAUAAUUAGGAUGUCUAUAGACUUUUAAGCUUAGUAUGCAGUUCUAAAGGAAAGUGCUCAAGGAAAACUCGAUAUAAUUACCAAAGUAAUUUUGCCAACUGAUGAACAAAGUGAAAAAAGUAGGCGAAAAAACUUUUGUUGUGCUCACUCAUUCGUCAUUUUGGCAAAAUGUCAUCAAACAGGUAAAAAUUGGAAACAAUAAAUUUAAGUAAAGUUAUUUCUACAACUCCAGGUUUAAUUUUUUCAGAAACUGUGCUGAAUAUGAGGAGCACGUUGUUCUAAAUGUGGCCCAAUCCAUCGAAUAUACAUUCGGAGUUGAAUGUUACCGUCAGGAAGGUUCGUGACCACACCUAAAAAUUAAUACUAUAUUCGUCGUGGAUCAACUUCUGGAAGCUCUUGACUGGUUGCCGUAUGGAUGUAUCGCUAUGUUAUGUGCUGGAAUUCAAAGCAACCGCUGGCCAAUCCGUAGUUUUCCUCGAAAUCCGUUUGCAUCGAUUAACCUCUACGGACGCUUGUGUAUUGACAAGUCUUGACGGAUUCAUAAACUGUCCAUCGCAAUCGUGACAUUACCGCUAUCUUUAUUUUAAUUUCUAUAUCAACGUGAUUAUUUAUAAUUUUCAGUUCUUCAUUCGUUGUAGAGGACAAGACUAACGAGGCGCUUGGCCGAGGAGGAAGGCCUAAAACGUAGCUAUUCUCAGAUUCUAUCUAGUAAUCUUCCAUGGACAAUACAUAUUUCAAAAUCACGAUGUUAUACAAAUUAGAAUAAACAUCAUCAAGAACAAAGAUGACCAUACUCAAAUUUAGACAAAUUUAAAUAGUAUGGAAAUUUGUUCAGUGAUAAAAGCAGGUUGAAUAAAACGAGACAAGCACA
Armigeres subalbatus is the source of this 898-nucleotide long non-coding RNA. RefSeq lists it as uncharacterized. The transcript is spliced from 3 exons. The record is from RefSeq and is a predicted model, not a curated record. NCBI's taxonomy places the organism in Eukaryota, Metazoa, Arthropoda, Insecta, Diptera, Culicidae.